Molecule: ribosomal RNA, 1456 nt
Filed under: metagenome
Description: bacterial LSU rRNA
Rfam family: Bacterial large subunit ribosomal RNA
Source: RNAcentral
AUUAAACUGAUGGAGUGACGGAGAAGGCUAAGUUGAGCGUGUUAAUGGAUUCACGUGUAAGCAGUGAGGUGGUCAUGUAGGCAAAUCCGCAUGGCAUAACAUUGAGCUGUGAUGCCGAAGCCGUAUGGCGAAGUUAACUGAUGUCACGCUUCCAAGAAAAGCUUCUAGGGUUAAUUUAGUAAGUGCCCGUACCGAUAACCGACACAGGUAGGCGAGGAGAGAAUCCUAAGAUGAGCGAGAGAACUCUUGUUAAGGAACUCGGCAAAAUGACCCCGUAACUUCGGGAGAAGGGGUGCUUGUGAAAGCAAGCCGCAGUGAAUAGGCCCAGGCGACUGUUUAUCAAAAACACAGGUCUCUGCUAAACCGCAAGGUGAUGUAUAGGGGCUGACGCCUGCCCGGUGCUGGAAGAUUAAGAGGAGAGGUUAGCGCAAGCGAAGCUUUGAAUUGAAGCCCCAGUAAACGGCGGCCGUAACGAUAACGGUCCUAAGGUAGCGAAAUUCCUUGUCGGGUAAGUUCCGACCCGCACGAAAGGCGUAACGAUCUGGGCGCUGUCUCAACAAGAGACUCGGUGAAAUCGUAGUACCUGUGAAGAUGCAGGUUACCCGCGACAGGACGGAAAGACCCCGUGGAGCUUUACUGUAGCUUGAUAUUGAGCACUGGUGACACAUGUACAGGAUAGGUAGGAGACGAAGAAGCCAGGACGCCAGUCUUGGUGGAGUCGCUGUUGGGAUACUACCCUUGUGUUACUGGGGUUCUAACCCGUGGCCAUGAUCUGGUCAGGGAACAGUGUCAGGUGGGCAGUUUGACUGGGGCGGUCGCCUCCCAAAGAGUAACGGAGGCGCCCAAAGGUUCCCUCAGAAUGGUUGGAAAUCAUUCGAAGAGUGUAAAGGCAGAAGGGAGCUUGACUGCGAGACCUACAAGUCGAGCAGGGACGAAAGUCGGGCUUAGUGAUCCGGCGGUACCGAAUGGAAGGGCCGUCGCUCAACGGAUAAAAGCUACCCCGGGGAUAACAGGCUGAUCUCCCCCAAGAGUUCACAUCGACGGGGAGGUUUGGCACCUCGAUGUCGGUUCAUCGCAUCCUGGGGCUGUAGUCGGUCCCAAGGGUUGGGCUGUUCGCCCAUUAAAGCGGUACGCGAGCUGGGUUCAGAACGUCGUGAGACAGUUCGGUCCCUAUCCGUCGUGGGCGUAGGAAAUUUGAGAGGAGCUGUCCUUAGUACGAGAGGACCGGGAUGGACACACCGCUGGUGUACCAGUUGUUCUGCCAGGAGCAUAGCUGGGUAGCUACGUGUGGACGGGAUAAACGCUGAAAGCAUCUAAGCGUGAAGCCCCCCUCAAGAUGAGAUUUCCCAUUCGAAAGAAGUAAGAUCCCUUGAAGACGACAAGGUAGAUAGGUCAGAAGUGGAAGUGUGGUGACACAUGGAGCGGACUGAUACUAAUCGAUCGAGGACUAAACCGA